UUACGGCCAUAUCAAGUUGAAAUACCGGUUCUCGUCAUAUCACCGUAGUUAAUCAACGUCGAGACUGGUCAGUUCCUAGAUGGGUGACCGCUUGGAAAUCUCAGGUGCUGUAAG
Molecule: non-coding RNA, 114 nt
Organism: Acanthosepion pharaonis
Lineage: Eukaryota; Metazoa; Mollusca; Cephalopoda; Sepiida; Sepiidae
Source: the annotation of a GenBank genome assembly